Molecule: long non-coding RNA, 713 nt
Organism: Psammomys obesus (fat sand rat)
Lineage: Eukaryota; Metazoa; Chordata; Mammalia; Rodentia; Muridae
Exons: 3
Source: RefSeq, a predicted model, not a curated record
UCUCUCUCUCUCUCUCUCUCACACACACACACACACACACACACACACACACACACACACACACACACACACACACGCUGGAGAGGUAAAGAGAAGAAGGAGAUCUCGCCAGGCGUGGGAGGGCAGGCAUCUCACUGCUUCUGUUUGGGCUUUCUGACCGCUGUGUUGAGCUUGCGUACUCGGACUCCUGAGACAGUUUGGGCCUACUCUCCUGAGUGCCAUCCACAUUCCAUCAAGGUCUUGCUAACAUUGCUGUCUCAGUGUGGAACAAUGUUAAUAAAAGGUAGCCGGCAAACAUUAUUACCCAGAGUCAAAGCUGCCCUAGAGGAGAAGCCGUCCGCCAAGCGCCAAUGCUAGCAGAUGCACUUGUGUCCAGAGUCCAGCCUGGAGCUCCGCAGGCACCGCGCUGGCUCCCUGGCUCUUUCCCUCACUGUACUACCCCGGGCUCCGAGCGCAGCCUCUGCUCUGAAGAAAACUGGACUGCCAGAUAUUAAAGCACUGUGCCACUCUACAAUAAAUAGAACUCCACCAGUGGAGGAAGAAGCAAGCCCUUUCCCCAACUAAACAAGUCAGAGGACUGGUUUGUGAUCAUCAAGCCAAUUCAAACCAGCGAAGGAAGAAUUAAAAAGGUUGGGGACAAGCUAACCAUUGGAAAGCAAUGACGUUAUCUGUCUAAUUCCCACCACAUGCCAAAAUAAAUUUCUGAUGAUUAA